Paramuricea clavata is the source of this 72-nucleotide non-coding RNA. The record is from the annotation of a GenBank genome assembly. NCBI's taxonomy places the organism in Eukaryota, Metazoa, Cnidaria, Anthozoa, Malacalcyonacea, Plexauridae.
UGUUCUGUCGCUCAGUUAGUUAGAGCGCAGCACAGGAUUGCAGAGAUGCAGGUUCUAUUCCUGCCGGAGGAC